GUCCUCGCUUCAGCAGCACAUAUACUAAAAAAUUGGAACGAUACAGAGAAGAUUAGCAUGGUCCCUGUGCAAGGAUGACACACAAAUUUGUGAAAUGUUCCCAAAAAAA
This 109-nucleotide small nuclear RNA is filed under the name Castor canadensis (American beaver). The record is from RNAcentral. Lineage: Eukaryota; Metazoa; Chordata; Mammalia; Rodentia; Castoridae.